GACAAAUAAAGUCAUCUUAAUAUGACAGCACUGUUACUGUGCAUUGUCCUGCACCGAGGAGUGAACACGAGACCAGCUGUGUGAGUGUGACAAAGACAAAUAUUAUAGAAAAGGAACUCGUUUCAGCUUGUCUUCAGACUAAUGGAUGCCUAAUGGAACAUUUGCAUCACUGGCCAAGGGAGGAACACCAUGUCGCGCGCAGCAGUUAGGAAUCCAACUUUGGGCUGUGCCUGCAUGGGGAGCAUGCCCCGGCUUGCAGGAGAAAUCUUACAUAAGAGAGAGGCGUCGUCCCCUUUAACAGACAUUACGUGAUGCUGAAAUGACAUGGUCAGUUUAUCCUCAGAACAACACACAGAAAGGGUCAAACAUUGGCGUGACUCCAACGUUAGGCAGUGGGGUCAUAUGUCAUGCUGCUACAGAAUGAGGACCGUACUAAGAGACUAAAUGUACAGUGGUAAAGCAGACAGUUUGUUCCAGACAGAAGAUGAUGUGCGUAAGUUUCGCAAACAUGCCGUAACAGCUCACCAUGAUGAGAUAAUUAGGUGAUGGGAAUUUGAGGAGGAUUGCACUCCAUACCUUCAUUAGGCAACUUUUGCAUUUUCUGUUUUGUUUCGUUGUUGUUUUCUCAAUUAUGAUGUCACCCUUUUACUUUCACUUUCUGUGUUUCAUUCUUCAAUCAUAUUCUGUAUAGACUUGUCUGUUAUGUUGCUUUUGUUGAUUUAUUUUUCAUCUUAUGAUAUCAUCUGUUUUUGUGCAUAUAACCUACUGGUGCUUUGCGUCACCGUCCUUGAUAACGCAUCUGAUCUUCAACUGUAUGACAUCAUGACUUCCAUCUUCAUAUUUUCUUUGUCCUUUCUGCCUUUUAUCUUUCUGCCUGUCUCUCGCUCUCCCUCUCACCUGUUGACUAUUGUCCAAAUACUAUUGUCUUUUAAUUAAAGUGCUUGAGAAUGUGAGAUUAUUGAUUUCAAAGGCCAAUAAAGUAAAUUGAACUGAA
Long non-coding RNA from Oncorhynchus masou masou (cherry salmon), 994 nucleotides. RefSeq lists it as uncharacterized. The record is from RefSeq and is a predicted model, not a curated record. Lineage: Eukaryota; Metazoa; Chordata; Actinopteri; Salmoniformes; Salmonidae. The transcript has 2 exons.